This 250-nucleotide unclassified non-coding RNA is filed under the name Athalia rosae (coleseed sawfly). RNAcentral describes it as "misc RNA ENSAEAG00005004653.1". Lineage: Eukaryota; Metazoa; Arthropoda; Insecta; Hymenoptera; Athaliidae. The record is from RNAcentral.
GCGGCAGGGAGGAGGAGGAGAGAAAGAUCUCGUGUAGUAUAAUAUCGAGGAAUGGAAAUAUAAUGGGAAAUGAGCAGAGAGCAUCGCAUCGCGUAGCCGAGGAUAACUCUGAAAUGGGCGCCGGCUGGUGGCUACAGGGGGUUGAUGGCUCGGAAGGUAUAGGAAAAAGGGAAAAAAAAAAAAAAGGGAGGGGUGGAAAGCAUCGAUACACCAACCUCUGAAAUAUUCAUCGCAAAAGGAUCCCAUUAAG